Molecule: unclassified non-coding RNA, 1549 nt
Filed under: Stegodyphus dumicola
Lineage: Eukaryota; Metazoa; Arthropoda; Arachnida; Araneae; Eresidae
Description: serine/arginine-rich splicing factor 7-like, transcript variant X3
Source: RNAcentral
UAACAACCAAUGAAGAUAUGAUCACAUCAUGUGAUCAAGAAAGACAUAAAACUGGAGCUGUCUUAAAACACCUCAACGUUUUUGAAUUUCUUCGAAAGCGACGCCGCUUAUAGCGUUCUUUGUUGAAUUGAGUUAAACUUGUCAAUUGGAAGUGCAUAAUGUCAAGAUAUAGAGACAGUGGUUGCCCACCAGAUUGCAAAGUAUAUGUUGGAGAUUUGGGAAACAGUGGAACGAAACAUGAAAUAGAAGAUGCAUUUAGUUAUUAUGGCCCUUUAAGAAAUGUGUGGGUUGCUAGAAACCCACCUGGGUUUGCAUUUGUUGAAUUUGAAGAUUCACGGGAUGCUAGGGAUGCAGUCAGAGCUCUUGAUGGAAAAUUAUUAUGUGGCCGCAGAGUGAGAGUAGAGCUGUCAACUGGACGUACACGAAAUUCUUUCAGAGGUCCACCGCCUCGUCCAUUCCAUCCUGAUGAUCGCUGCUAUGAUUGUGGUGAAAGAGGUCAUUAUGCAAGAGAUUGUAAACGUGUGAGCAAAAGGUCACCUGUUAGGAAUCGUCGUACUAGAUCACGUUCCCGUGGUCGUUCUGUAAGCCGAAGUCGUUCCAAGUCAGUGAGCAGAACUCCUAGCCGAAGUCGCAGUGUUAGCCGAAGUCGUUCCAGGAGCAGAAGCAAAUCUGGAUCUCGUGGGAGGCAGUGAUCUGACUGGUUUGAAGACUUUACAGCAUACUCUGCUGUUAUUCAAUUAUAAAUGUUCUUGUUUGUAGAGGAUGAAUGUCCAAAGAAAAACUGUACUCGAACAUCCACUUUGAUAAAGGUCACUCUUUAUCAAAAUAGAAGAAAAUGUGCUUCAAUAUGAAAAAUUACAGAACUUUCCAGGAUGAUCAUUGUUUUCAUGUACUCCCAAAUGAUAAGUUUGCUAUUAUUCAUUUUUAGUUAUGCCAUAUAAUUUCAGAAAUGCAAAUAAGCAAUUGGAAUUCUGUUAAAAAUUUAUGUAUUACGAAACCUUAUCUUUGAAACAGUAUGCUCAACAACAUUCUCAACUCUUAACUUUUGGUGUGAAAUUUCACUACAAAAAGCAUGAAUGAAAGCAGCUCUAUUUUCUGUGCUGUGAGAAAGACUGCACUGUCACUUUCUUAUGUUUUAUAGAUUUCUAACCAGUAUAAUAAUCAAAUAGCAAUAUCUCUAUAAAUAUGUAAUAAUGUCUUUGAAAAGAAGUGCAAUAAUUUUCCCAAAUUUUUAAUCAAAACAGCUUAAAAAUAUACAAGAAUGUACUACAAAACAGAGUUCUUAUUUCCCAAAAAAAGGGAAAAUUUUUAACAGUUUCUUCAGUAUUUAACUAACUUCAUAUAGGUAAGUUUUGUUAAAAUGUUUACUUUUAAAUUAAAACUCUCUAAGCAGUCUUUAAUUCUUAAAGUAGCUGCAGUUAGAGGUAUUGCUGUAGUAUAAUGAGUAUAGCAAAAAGCCAUAGGAGUGGGCAGAAACUUUUUAAGAGGGUGUAGCUAUUUAAAUCCCUUGUAAUUUGCAGCAGUUGAAGAAUAAAUCAUUAAAACUUUA